UACGUAGGGGGCGAGCGUUGUCCGGAUUCAUUGGGCGUAAAGAGCUCGUAGGCGGUUCGCUAAGUCAGGUGUGAAAUCUCCACGCUCAACGUGGAGGGGCCACCUGAUACUGGCGUGACUCGAGUCCGGUAGGGGAGUGUGGAAUUCCCGGUGUAGCGGUGAAAUGCGCAGAUAUCGGGAGGAACACCAGUGGCGAAGGCGGCACUCUGGCUCGGUACUGACGCUGAGGUGCGAAAGCGUGGGGAGCAAACAGG
Molecule: ribosomal RNA, 254 nt
Filed under: uncultured bacterium
Lineage: Bacteria
Description: partial 16S ribosomal RNA
Rfam family: Bacterial small subunit ribosomal RNA
Source: RNAcentral